GGCUGUGUGGAGUAAUGGUUUGAAUAUUAGGCUAAGACUCUGAAAGACCAGUGUUCAAAUCUCUGCUCAGCCA
Non-coding RNA from Phrynosoma platyrhinos (Desert horned lizard), 73 nucleotides. Lineage: Eukaryota; Metazoa; Chordata; Lepidosauria; Squamata; Phrynosomatidae. The record is from the annotation of a GenBank genome assembly.